This 1196-nucleotide long non-coding RNA is filed under the name Callithrix jacchus (white-tufted-ear marmoset). Its description in RNAcentral is "lncRNA (ENSCJAG00000075605.1)". The record is from RNAcentral. Lineage: Eukaryota; Metazoa; Chordata; Mammalia; Primates; Cebidae.
UAUUUUCGAAACACCUCAGAUGACUAUUUCAGUUUUCCACACUUGCUGUGCACACGGGAUGUUGGGGAGGUUCUUCUUUCUUCUACAGGACUACUUUUAUACAGGGACCUACGGUAAACUUCAAAACUGAAAGUCACGUUUGUGUUCCAGGUCUAAAGACUUGGAUUUCUGAGUCUUUAUUGCAUUUUAGAUUUUGGCUUUAAAAGUUCAAAUUACACACCUCACUCCGACCCAAAAUAACCAAACAGGAACUCCCUAGCUUAUUUUACUCUUUAGUAACUGGCGAGUCUGCGGGUUUGGGAGGGAGGAGGCAGUGGUGCCCAGGCGGGGAACAGCUGGGAGCUAGCAAGCCCCUGAGAGCGGCUUUGGCAGAACUGGAGCUGGAAGAGAACCUAUAACUGCUUCGGUUGGCUCCCUCGUGCACUCUAGGUCACAAGACUGAGGCAACAAACACUCAGCGGAAAAUAAAGUAGGGAAGGAAAGUUAUAUAAGAAACUUGCAGGCCAGGCGCAGUGGCUCACUCCUGUAAUUCCAGCACUUUGGGAGGUCGAGGCGGGUGGAUCGCCUGAGGUCAGGAGUUCGAGACCAUCCUGGCCAACAUGACAAAACUCAGUCUCUACUAAAAAUACAAAAUUAACCUGGCGUGGUGGCGCGGGCCUGUAAUCCCAGCUACUUGGGAGGCUGAGGCAGGAGAAUCACUUGAACCCGGGAGGAGGAGGUUGCAGUGAGCCGAGUUCCCUCCACUGCAUUCCAGCCCUGGCAACGCAGCAAGGCUCCGUCUCAAAAAAAAAAAAAAAAAAAAAAAAAAAAAAAAGGCAGCAACAGCAGCUUGCAAUGGCCGAGUGCCUUACAUCUGUAAUCCCAGCACUUUGCUGAGGAGGGCGGAUCACUUGAAGUCAGGCGUUCGAGACCAGCCUAGACAACAUUGUGAACCCCUGCUCCCCGUCUCUACUAAAAAUAAAUACAAAAAUUAGCCAGGCAUGGUGGUUAUAUCUGUAAUCCCAGCCACUCAGGAGGCUGAGGAGUAAGAAUCACUUGAACCCAGGAGGUGGAGGUAGCAGUGAACCGACAUGGCACUGCACUCCAGCCUGGGUGAUAGUGAGAUUCUAAAUCAAUCAAUCAAUCAAUGAAAGUCUUCUUGCCCCCAAGAUCAUCAAUAAAUGAUCAUUUAUCUAACACUUUUAUCGUCGUGCUUU